This is a long non-coding RNA of Halichondria panicea, 869 nucleotides long. RefSeq lists it as uncharacterized. The transcript is spliced from 2 exons. The record is from RefSeq and is a predicted model, not a curated record. NCBI's taxonomy places the organism in Eukaryota, Metazoa, Porifera, Demospongiae, Suberitida, Halichondriidae.
UUUACCUGACUGUAUAUAAAGAAGCAAUCAAAUCAAUAAACUUUAAAUCACACCAGAUUCAUGCACUCCUGCUCACAUUGUGAGAUUUUCAAUUGCUAAUCCUUUAAGAAGAUUGAAGAUGAAGACUAUCAUUGGAGCACUUAUUUUUCUCUACUGCUGCUCAGCAACAAUAACUGCACCAAUAUCCAAGGUGUUGUUCAUUGAGCCUAAAACAAUUAACUACUUUGCUUCAUUUGUACGCUCGUCGAUGACUACUACAGAAACCAAUACCAUCAUGCACUUCCCUACUGGUUUGAUUAAUUAUGAGGAGUUGAUUCGAGUUCCUCUCGGUGAACUAGACUCCCAUGUGCUAAUAAGAGUCACAUUUGCAAUAAAACCUCGUCCCAAUACAGAAGACAGUGACCCAUACAUUGGAAUAACAGACAAUGUGGCUGAAAAUUAUUUUAGACUAAGUGGGCAUGGGGCAUGUCAAUUUCAGGAUGGUUCUUAUAAUGGGGCCACCCUACCUUCAGGAUCAGACCAGCACUACGAGUACAUCCUAAUAUUCGAGCCAUUUCAGAACUACGGUGCAUGUUCUCACCUCGGGGGUCAUGUGACCCCAGGAUACUUUAAUACCCGUAUUGAUGCAAGCAAAGGAUUGGAUUUUGUGGUGAAGAGAGAACAGGCUAAUGAGCAGUACGACUUCUACUACUUUCUCAUUGAGAUUCUCUAACUAUACACAGCAGAACAUUUGCUAACACCCUUAGUAGCAACUGCUAGAAUUACUUAAGUAGAACAGACAUAAAUACGUAUUUAGUAUUACUAUAUUUAUAAUUAUAUACAUGUAUAUAUGCAUGCUGCCAUAAUCUUUUCUCAAAUAAAUUACAAAA